UUUCACUUACUCGUUUUGUAGAAUGUCUGUCGAGACGGAAGUUAGACUCCAGAUCAUACCUGCUUCUCACUUGCUAACAGAAACUACUUGACCCUCUGUGUCUGCAGGAGUAAAUGACAGUUCCAGGCUGGAGGGAGGCAGAAGGAGAGAAAGAGAUGCAAAAAUGGCUGCCAGUGGAUCACACACACCGUCAGGUAAUAUCUACAAAUUAAACAUAAAUAUUUUUAUUGAUUUUGUACUCAUCAAAUGAUGAAUGGGAAAUUCAGAUUAGGAGCUAGGGAUCACUGGGUGUAGAGACACAUGGAUGCCGACUAUGCCCAAUCUUACUGCAGAUGAUUCCAGAGGACAUACAGUAGCUCUUGACUAUAAUCGUCAAAGGAGAGUAGAUGAUGAAUGGAAAGUGUCUGAGAUAGUUAGUCUCCUACAGAGGGAGGUUCAGAGUAGGGAGAGAGUAGGGCUGUUACAGUGACCUUAUUACCGCCACACCGGCGGUCACGAAUCAUGAUGGCAGUCAAAUUCCAUCUGACCGUUUAGUCACGGUAAUUAGGCUUCUCUGAUGCUGCUCAUUAGUAGCCUACCAAACUUGCUAACUGCCUGGUACUCAUCACUCUAUUGUCCCUCUAAUCACUCUGACAACAAUGGAAAUCGAAUCGAAAAUCGAAUCAAAAACUUGAUGAGAGCCCAUUUCUAUAGACUACGUAAUUGUGUGAGAAAACAAAGUUUGAUGACCUCUAAUAAAAAUAGGAGGACCUCAUCAGCUUUCUAUAGGCUAGGCCUACUAUAUUUAUUUCUCAACUUUUUAAAAUAUUAAGAACAUUGCUUUGCUUUACAACAUUAGUAUAGCCUCCCUGCCUGGCAUGAAAAUCAACCACGGGAAAAGCGUCCCUCAUUCGCUAUUUAAGUGCAUAGAUGACAUGUAUUUUUCCCCAUACCCCUUUUCGGAAACAGGUGCAUGAAAAUGGUCCAUUCUAUAUCAAAACUAAUUUCACAAAUAUAUUACUUAGUAUACUCUACCAGUCAAAAGUUUUAGAACACCU
Molecule: long non-coding RNA, 1037 nt
Organism: Oncorhynchus kisutch (coho salmon)
Lineage: Eukaryota; Metazoa; Chordata; Actinopteri; Salmoniformes; Salmonidae
Exons: 3
Source: RefSeq, a predicted model, not a curated record